Molecule: ribosomal RNA, 442 nt
Filed under: uncultured bacterium
Lineage: Bacteria
Description: partial 16S ribosomal RNA
Rfam family: Bacterial small subunit ribosomal RNA
Source: RNAcentral
CCUACGGGGUGCAGCAGUAGGGAAUCUUUCACAAUGGGCGAAAGCCUGAUGGAGCAACGCCGCGUGCAGGAUGAAGGCCUUCGGGUUGUAAACUGCUUUUAUAAGCGAGAAAUAUGAUGGUAACUUAUGAAUAAGGAUCGGCUAACUACGUGCCAGCAGCCGCGGUCAUACGUAGGAUCCGAGCAUUAUCAGGAGUGACUGGGUGUAAAGAGUUGCGUAGGUGGCAUAAUAAGUAGCUAGUGAAAUCUGGUGGCUCAACCAUUCAGACUAUUAGCUAAACUGUUAAGCUCGAGACCGUUAGGGGUAACUGGAAUGUCUAGUGUAGGAGUGAAAUCCGUAGAUAUUAGAAGGAACACCAAUAGCGUAGGCAGGUUGCUGGGACGGUUCUGACACUAAGGCACGAAAGCGUAGGGAGCAAACGGGAUUAGAUACCCGAGUAGUC